Molecule: ribosomal RNA, 465 nt
Filed under: uncultured Klebsiella sp.
Lineage: Bacteria; Pseudomonadati; Pseudomonadota; Gammaproteobacteria; Enterobacterales; Enterobacteriaceae
Description: bacterial SSU rRNA
Rfam family: Bacterial small subunit ribosomal RNA
Source: RNAcentral
CCUACGGGUGGCUGCAGUGGGGAAUAUUGCACAAUGGGCGCAAGCCUGAUGCAGCCAUGCCGCGUGUGUGAAGAAGGCCUUCGGGUUGUAAAGCACUUUCAGCGGGGAGGAAGGCGGUGAGGUUAAUAACCUCAUCGAUUGACGUUACCCGCAGAAGAAGCACCGGCUAACUCCGUGCCAGCAGCCGCGGUAAUACGGAGGGUGCAAGCGUUAAUCGGAAUUACUGGGCGUAAAGCGCACGCAGGCGGUCUGUCAAGUCGGAUGUGAAAUCCCCGGGCUCAACCUAGGAACUGCAUUCGAAACUGGCAGGCUAAAGUCUUGUAGAGGGGGGUAGAAUUCCAGGUGUAGCGGUGAAAUGCGUAGAGAUCUGGAGGAAUACCGGUGGCGAAGGCGGCCCCCUGGACAAAGACUGACGCUCAGGUGCGAAAGCGUGGGGAGCAAACAGGAUUAGAUACCCGGGUAGUC